RNAcentral lists this ribosomal RNA (433 nucleotides) under uncultured bacterium. RNAcentral's name for it is "partial 16S ribosomal RNA". It matches the Rfam family "Bacterial small subunit ribosomal RNA", at positions 29 to 507 of the family's 1533-position model. The record is from RNAcentral.
AACGAACGCUGGCGGCAUGCCUAACACAUGCAAGUCGAACGAGACCUUCGGGUCUAGUGGCGCACGGGUGCGUAACGCGUGGGAACCUGCCCUUAGGUUCGGAAUAACUCCCCGAAAGGGGUGCUAAUACCGGAUAAUGUCUUCGGACCAAAGAUUUAUCGCCUUUAGAUGGGCCCGCGUUGGAUUAGCUAGUUGGUAGGGUAAAAGCCUACCAAGGCGACGAUCCAUAGCUGGUCUGAGAGGAUGAUCAGCCACACUGGGACUGGGACACGGCCCAGACUCCUACGGGAGGCAGCAGUGCGUAAUAUUGGACAGUGGGCGAAAGCCUGAUCCAGCAAUGCCGCGUGAGUGAUGAAGUCCUUAGGGUUGUAAAGCUCUUUUACCCGGGAUGAUAAUGACAGUACCGGGAGAAUAAGCUCCGGCUAACUCCGUG